GGUCGUCUCGACAUGCAUAUCAAGUUAUGAAUAAAAACUCAUAAUGAAAUUGCAUUUAGGCCAACAAUUUAGGGUCAUCAAGGGAGAUAUAUUCAAUUUUCACAUCUAUGGUCACCAAGGCACAAAACCAUCAAUCCAAUUUACCAUUAUGAAAAAACAUUGCAUAGUCAUUGCAUCUAGGGUCAACUCACCUUGCAUUUAUGAAUAAGCAUUCAUAUUGAAAUUGCAUUCAGACCAACAAUUUAGGGACAUCGAGCGACAUAUACUCACAAAGAGCUUCACCAACAUCCACUCCAAAAAGAAGGGCAAUCCAUUCUAUCUUUGAAAACACAAAUUGACCAAGUUCAUCACAGAUUCAUAUUCCAGUGUCAAGUCUGUUUAAAUUUGACGAAAAGGAUGCAUCAAUAUUACAUUUGAAUCGUCCCAGAGUCGGCCUUUUCCAAUAAACAGCAGCAGAAUCUAUUUGUGCCGCGGUCGCAUUAUGCAAAGCACCAAGUGGUAUCAGAGAUUUGAUACAGGCGAACCUGCAAAAUCUGAAAGGAUUUGCCGAGUCAUUGAAGGUCCAAUCAAGAAGCUUAAAAUUCUUUUCUAUUUCAACAUUAAUAAUGAAAUUGCAUUUAGGCCAACAAUUUAGGGGUUUGAGGCUCAAAUAUCAAAUUUUGCAUUCAAACUCAUCAUGAGACAUAUGCUCAAUUUCGCAUCUAAGGUAACCAAAAGCACACUACCAUCAUGCCAAUUUAUCACUAUUAAGAAAACAUCAUAGAGUCACUGUAUCAAGAGUGGUCUCAACAUGCAUAUCAAGUUAUGAAUAAAAAUUCAUAAUAAAAUUGAAUCUAGGGUCAUCAAAGGACAUAUGUUCAAUUUUCGCAUCUAAGGUCACUCAACGUGAAAUCAUCAUCCCAAUUUACUAUUACGAAAAAGCAUAGUAUAGCCAUCGUUUCAAGGGUCACAUAUUCAAGUUAGGGACACAGAGGGACAUAUCUUCAAGUUAGUCAUCUCGACUUGCAUUUAAAGUUAUGAAUAAGCAUUCACAUUGAAAUUCCAUUCAGACAAUCAAUCUAGGGACAUCAAGGGACAUAUACUCAAUUUCGCAUCAAAGGCACGAAGGCACACAACCCUCUUCACAAUAUACCGUAAUAAGAAAAUCAUUAUCAACUUGCAUUUUGAAUAAACAUUCAUAUUUCAAAUUACAUUUAGACCCUCAAAAUUUUCAUGUAUACCAUCCUGAUUUCAUAUGAAUAAAGAAUUCAUAUUGUAAGCCACAUAUUUGGUCAAAAAAUUCAUCUCAUUGGGUCAUCCAAACACAAUAUCCCAUGACUUGUCUUAAGAAUUUUUUUAGCAACAACACAAUUUCUUAGGCCAAAUUACCUUCUUAGGUAUGAAAAAUCAAGAUUCGCCAAUUUACCACACUCUUGGAUGAUACAAAAAACUACCCAAAACAACAGCUAUGUCAAACAAUAGUUUGAAGAAUCUGUUACUUCAUGA
This 1485-nucleotide long non-coding RNA is filed under the name Trifolium pratense (red clover). RNAcentral's name for it is "long non-coding RNA (TPRA_LNC011496)". Lineage: Eukaryota; Viridiplantae; Streptophyta; Magnoliopsida; Fabales; Fabaceae. The record is from RNAcentral.